AGGGGCACACCUGCAGCAUUUGGAAGUUCCCAGGCUAGGGGUCGAAUUGGAGUUGUAGCUCCACCAAUGCCUACAGCACAGCCACAGCAAUGCGGGAUCCAAGCCACGUCUGCGACCUACACCACAGCUCAUGAUAAUGCCAGAUACCUAAUCCACUGAUCAAGGCCAGGGAUUGAAAUUGCAUCCUCAUGGAUACUAGUCGGGUUCAUUACCACUGAGGCACAGUGGGAACUCCGUAUAUAUCUACAACAAUUAAAGUCCAGAUUCCUAAUGCCUAGUCCAGCAGCAGACUUUCCAUCAUAUCAUGGCUUCAGACUUGCCCUACUUAGAUAAAGGCCCUGCAUAUUCAAGAGUCCAGGUAAUGUAAGUUAAUGUUAUGUGGUAUAAUUGACACGUAAUGUAAAUAAGCCAUGAGUAGCUGGCAAACAAUAGGGAAUGAUGGAGACUAUAUCAAAAGGAGACUGUAUAUCCUGAGGAGGGAGCCACUACUUAGUUCCAGGGUGUUCUUGCUAUGUUGAAAUGUGGACCCAGUUGUUUUUGUUUUUGGUUUUUUUUUGUCUUUCUGCCAUUUCUUGGGCCGCUCCCUCAGCAUAUGGAGGUUCCCAGGCUAGGGGUCCAAUCAGAGCUGUAGCCGCUGGCCUACACCAGAGCCACAGCAACGCGAGAUCCAAUCCGUGUCUGUGAUCAUGGCAACGCCGGAUCCUUAACCCACUAAGCAAGGCCAGGGAUGGAAUCUGCAUCCUCAUGGAUGCUAGUUGGGUUUGUUAAUCACUGAGCCACAAUGGGAACUCCUAGGCAUGUAUUUUUAUUUAAAUAAUACUUUUAGUUGCCUUUAGGUAUCUCAUUUCAGGCCACUUGGCUUCUUUCUAAGCAAUCUCAACCUCCAAAUCUCUUCCCAAUAUACAUAUGCAAUUUUCAUUCUGUUCACAAAUGAAACCCUAACCUAAAUACUUCAAAAGUAAUCUCAGGGGAAAAAUACUGUUCAAAAACCUAGAUAAUGCAUUCCUUUCGUUGAUGCCAAAUAUAGUCAUCUCAAGAUGACAUACAUUUUGACAAUGAUCAGUCUUACACAUCAAAUUUUCAAAAAUAGCAAAGAUUCCAUUUUAAGGUGAAGAGGAAAAAUCGCUCACUUCACUACAUUUCAGCUUAAAAUGGAUGUUAAAAUGGGACUCUUCUAUGAAAAACUGAGUUACAUCAAUCAAUACUGUAUCAAGGGAAACUGGAUUUGAAAGAAUUUUGUUGUGGUUUUUGCUGAGGGCUCUUUAAGGGGGUCAUUGCAGAUAAAAUACAAAAUUGCCCACAUUUUUCCUGAAGUUAUUCCGGUCAAAAUGGAAAUUAUCUUCAAAAAUGGGGGGCUAAUAGCUAUGAGAAAGCAGCUUAAUUACAUUAAAUAAUCAAAGUUCAUUUAUCCUCAAUAUACACCUCCUCAAAAAAAAAACCUUGUCCCUCAGUUUAUUAUGUAUUUUUCCACCCUACUGCACCUCAAAACUCAAAAGAAUUUAUGAGACUUAGAGGUAUUCUGAGUUUUCUUAUGGCAGCAAUUUAACCUGUAAAAGGAUUAGGGGGAAAAUAAUGUGGUUCACGCAACAUGGGUGACUAAGAUGGUAUAAAUACUUAAGUUUAUUUAAUCAUAGUAUCCAGCACAUAGUUAUGCUGUGACUCCGAGGCCAAUAGGCCCACACAUGAAUUCAUUAACAAAAUUUAGCUGAUGAAUGAUGCUCUCGCUGCUUUGCUCAUGGAACAAAUUUCUUUCUUAUGGCUUAUUUCCUUUCUCUACCUGCCUCUUUCCCAAGGACAGACAUUUUGUUAGGACACAUCCUUGUGCUAUUUUUAUCUUGUUCCUUCUAUCCUUCCCCUCCUGUCCCUCUCUCCUCCCCCCAUACCCCUUUUCCAACUCCCUUUGUUCACUUUAUGGACCUUAAAUAAAUGAUAGGAAGAUCUUGAAGCCACUGCCACAAUCAACUAACCUCUCCACUUGAUUAUUUUCUUUCCAAACGCCAUUAAUAAAGUUUUAGCAUCUGUAGAGCAUUUCAUAGUUUACAAACACAGUUGGAAUGGCUCGGCGUUUUCAAACAGCAUCUAGACAGGGAGGUCUCCAGAGGUGACUACACGAUCCACUCCAAGCUCCAGCUCCAGUUGCACUACACCCAACAUCCGACCUCAGACAGAAUCGCCAAACACUUGUUUGGAAGGAGGGGGCAGAUGAUGGGCUGUUAAAUUACCUUUCACUCCCCAGCCUCCACAGGGACCGAUCAGGGAUGAUUUCUCCUAAAAACUACAGGCACUGCGGGCGAGAGACCGAUACCACGCCGGGGGCACGUGGUGGGACGAAACGGCACUUUCCCUGCUCGGACCCCAGGGACAGAGCGAGGGGACCGGCACCCGCUCCGCUGCAGGAGGGCUCAAUCCCCGCAGGACUG
This 2420-nucleotide long non-coding RNA is filed under the name Sus scrofa (pig). Its description in RNAcentral is "lncRNA (ENSSSCG00030016984.1)". Lineage: Eukaryota; Metazoa; Chordata; Mammalia; Artiodactyla; Suidae. The record is from RNAcentral.